GAGAGGCCCUGUCGAAGCUGCGCCCGCUCCGCCGCGUGGCUGGCGCAGUCAAAAAGGAGCCGAGAGCGAGCAGUUUUCCCUGACGGUCGCCGCGCGGUUUGUGCUGCCGUAACUGCCUGGCAACAUCCCGGGAAAAGACACAG
Small nucleolar RNA from Nothoprocta perdicaria, 143 nucleotides. The record is from Ensembl. NCBI's taxonomy places the organism in Eukaryota, Metazoa, Chordata, Aves, Tinamiformes, Tinamidae.